This is a non-coding RNA of Dipodomys ordii (Ord's kangaroo rat), 57 nucleotides long. Lineage: Eukaryota; Metazoa; Chordata; Mammalia; Rodentia; Heteromyidae. The record is from Rfam.
UGGCUCAGUGGUAGAGCGCUUGCCUUGCAUGCAUGAGGCCUUGGGUUCAAUUCCUCA